This 205-nucleotide microRNA precursor is filed under the name Oryza sativa Indica Group (long-grained rice). Its description in RNAcentral is "MIR812 microRNA precursor family". It matches the Rfam family "MIR812 microRNA precursor family". Lineage: Eukaryota; Viridiplantae; Streptophyta; Magnoliopsida; Poales; Poaceae. The record is from Rfam by way of RNAcentral.
AAUAUUUGACGCCGUUGACUUUUAAAAAAAUGUUUGACCGUUCGUCUUAUUUAAAAAAUUUAAGUAAUUAUUAAUUCUUUUCCUAUCAUUUGAUUUAUUGUUAAGUAUAGCUUUACGUAUACAUAUAGUUUUACACAUUUCACAAAAGUUUUUGAAUAAGACGAACGGUCAAACAUGUUUAAAAAAGUCAACGGCGUCAAACAUU